This 273-nucleotide long non-coding RNA is filed under the name Capsicum annuum. RNAcentral's name for it is "long non-coding RNA (CANN_LNC021539)". The record is from RNAcentral. Lineage: Eukaryota; Viridiplantae; Streptophyta; Magnoliopsida; Solanales; Solanaceae.
CUUGGUAGGUUGAAAAUGGUAAGUGUAGGGACUUUAAAGGUGUUUUUUUUAGAGUGGUUUUGUUUGGUGACUUGGUAGGUUUAAAAUGGUGAAGUGUCAGGACUUUAAAGGUUCUUUUUAGGUUUUAAAAUGGCUAUGUUUGGUGACGUGGUAGCCUAAAAAUGGUUAAGUAUAGGGACUUUAAAGGUGCUUUUUUGUUUUGAAAGUUCUUAUGUUUGGUGACUUGGUAGGUUGAAAAUGGUUAAAUGUUGUGACUUUAAAUGUGUUUUUUUU